AUUUAAAACGUUAACAGGACAAUUUUAAUUUGAUCUGUGCAAAAGUGAACAGUUUGAACAAAAACGAUAUGUGCAAAAGUGAACAGUAAAUUCUCACAAGACAGUUUGGAUAUAAGUUUAUUAAGAUGAUCAAAUUUGGAUAUAUAAUCUUUCACUUUGGAUUUAAAAAUGAACAAUUUGGAUCCCACCGCUAGCCACCAAAUUAUGUAACGUGUACACAG
RNAcentral lists this long non-coding RNA (221 nucleotides) under Mytilus galloprovincialis (Mediterranean mussel). The record is from RNAcentral. Lineage: Eukaryota; Metazoa; Mollusca; Bivalvia; Mytilida; Mytilidae.